Long non-coding RNA from Vicia villosa (hairy vetch), 1290 nucleotides. RefSeq lists it as uncharacterized. The transcript is spliced from 4 exons. Lineage: Eukaryota; Viridiplantae; Streptophyta; Magnoliopsida; Fabales; Fabaceae. The record is from RefSeq and is a predicted model, not a curated record.
UGUUUCAAUCUGAAGCUCUGUCUCUCUCUUCUCUUGCCGUGAAUCGCCUCCAUCCACAUGAAGGUUGCACUGAAUCUCUCUCUAUCCACCCUCGCGAGUCCUCUCCGUCGAAUGCUCCUGCAUCUUCGUGUAUCAUUACCGUUUUGGUUCGAGUUUGGAGGUUUCAACUCAGUUUAGAGUUUGGAUUCGAGAAGCUUUUUCACAGGUUUGUUUUGAUUUCAAAUCGAGUUUUGUUUCAGUUCAGAAUUGGUUGCAUUUUGGAAUUCUGGCAUUUUUACGGUUUCGACUCAAUUACGUGUUCUAUUACUGGGUUCUAUUACAGUUUGAUUGUGAUUUGAUUUUGGUGAAGAGUUUGAAUUAAAAUUAACACGAGUAUACAACUUCAUAAACCUAAAUUGGAUGAGCACUUACCGGUUGAAAUGAAGAAAAAUGCGGAUUUCGUUCUCGCUCGCAAGGUGUUCGAUGAAAUGUCCCAACCGGAUUAUUUCUUUCUCGCUCGCUCAUAUUGCGGCACUAGAGGUUGAUCCUCCAGGAUGCUCUUUUAAUCCCACGCAUGAAAGUCAUCAGAGAAGAAGCAGGCCAAGAAGGGAAAAAAGUAAAAACAGAACAGAAUGUUUGUUAACAAAAACUUUAUGGAUGAUCAAGAGAUUGUUCGAGGGUCGUUGACAAUGAUCCUGCUCUCAAAAACGUUAUGUCUUCUUAGCCAGAUGUUGUUUGCAAUGAAUGAAAACAAGGAGUCUUGUCUACACUUUCUGAAAGGAUGAUGAAUUACUUACUAAUGUCUGUAAUUAUGUAAGCUCGUCUUUUGUUUAUAAAUCUUAGUAUUGUUCUUUAAAUGUUGGGUAAUACCUUUCAACAAACCAUUAGACUUUUCAUUUAGUAGGUGUUAUAUUUUUAAGUGGCUAUUAUUAUAUUAAAAAGAAAUAAUUAGUGACAAUUAAUAUAUAACUAGGGACAAUCACAUUUUAUUAAUUGUAUAUGGUUACAGGGGUGAGAAGACUUUGGUUCUUUCAACCCUUAUCCAAAAGACAAACGCCCAGGAAAUGAAGUGGAUUAUCAUGAUAAUCCUGAAAGAUUUGAAGCUAGGAAUUAGUGAAAAAAAGCAUUUUUCAUGAAUUCCAUCCAGAUGCUGAAGACUUGUUUAAUGUUACAUGUGACUUAAAAUUAGUUUGUGAAAAACUAAGGGAUCGGAACCAACGUCAUAAGCGGCAGGAUAUUGAAGUUGGAAAAGCUGUGCGGCCUCAAUUAGCUAAGAGAGUUGCUAACGCUGCUGAAGCAUGGAAGAAGGUU